RNAcentral lists this ribosomal RNA (267 nucleotides) under uncultured bacterium. Its description in RNAcentral is "partial 16S ribosomal RNA". It matches the Rfam family "Bacterial small subunit ribosomal RNA", at positions 28 to 292 of the family's 1533-position model. The record is from RNAcentral.
GAUGAACGCUAGCGGCAGGCCUAAUACAUGCAAGCCGAACGGCAAGGUUUUCAGCAAUGGGAACCCUAGAGUGGCGUAAGGGUGCGUAACACGUAUGCAAUCUACCCUUAACAGGCGGAUAGGUCCCCGAAAGGGGAAUUAAGCCGCCAUAGGAAUUUUGGAUGGCAUCAUUUGAAAUUUAAAACUACGGUGGUUAAGGAUGAGCAUGCGCAUGAUUAGUUAGUUGGCGGGGUAACGGCCCACCAAGACUUUGAUCAUUAGGGGAAC